Molecule: long non-coding RNA, 4978 nt
Organism: Herpailurus yagouaroundi (jaguarundi)
Lineage: Eukaryota; Metazoa; Chordata; Mammalia; Carnivora; Felidae
Exons: 5
Source: RefSeq, a predicted model, not a curated record
GGAAGAAGCAAGUCGAGGCACACAAGAUCAGUGCAGGUGAGAAGAAGGGACAAUGCAGGGGUCCGCACGAGGAAGGCAGAUGAAAGUCUACAAGUCCUUUCGGGACUCCUGUCUCCCCCCGCCCCACCAUUUGGUGUACUGGGUGUGAAGCUGGGGGGUGGGUGGAAGCUGGAUUCUCACGAGCUGGUUAUAUAGAGUGUCCCACAGGGUAAAAAAUGAUCCUCCGGGCAGACGUUGGGAACCACAAAUGGGUGUGGGCAAAUGUUGAGCUCCUAGGUGAAAAUCUCAUGGCAGCAUGGGCAACCCGGAUGAAAAGUGUUACCUGAUGUCAGGGUGGGGCUGGCUACCUCUGGUUUUCCAACAGACUUUUCAAAGGUAAGGGGAUGUUUUGUUGUAUAAGUAUUUAUAUCCCUCUGCGCUCGGCACCCCUUGCGUAUGCACGCUGCACAAGACAAGUUGAAAUCACAGGAUCUUAAGAAUGGCCAGGGCACCUCUUUUUAUAGAGUAACAACCCUUUCCUGGUGUGCUGGAAAACAACGUGUGUCUAUAGGAGCUGAGCUGUGACCAAAGACAUUACUUUCCUUCUUCUAUUUUUAGAAGCACUGAAACCUACCCUCUGAUUUCCAACCACACUUCGAUUCUGACACAUACAAAUACAGCCAUUUGCUGGUAGGCAUGGGUCUAGAAAGAAUAAAAUCUCCCUUCUGUGGUAUAAAAGUCCUCUGGGUGAUGCGAGGCCGGAACUGGUGGAGAGAGGCCUUCUGUCCCCGAGGAAGGUGUGGGACGCCCAGAAGCAAUGGAGUGGCCCGGGUGCGGAUAAGACACAGCUGUCCCGUCAUUGUGAUUACGAUUACGAUUGUGAGUCCAGGAGGCUCCUCACCGAAGCCCUGGUUUCACUCUUUUAAAAAUAAACUCUUUCAGUCUGCCGAUGUCCCUCGCCCGGGCAUGCUGAAACACGCGAGUUACGCGUUUGCCUUGUUAAGUGCCACGCUGAGUAGUCGCUGAGGCCCUCCCUCCUGUGCGCCCCCUGCCCCCCCCCCCCCGGCCGUCAGAGCAGGGCUCUGCCUCACGAGACGUCACCGCGGCAGGGACCAAGUGCACAGCAGCAAGUAUUGUGGUUUCGCCUAAUGCCCCAACUGUGCAAACAGAUGACUAAAAGCGCGGUUCACAAGACAGAGAGGAGGUCAGAAUCUGUCGGCGCAGACACUCCACACGGCGACUGAUACAAUGCACUUUCGUAGGGGGCUUAUUUACGGGAACAUAUCAUGAGUCUUGGCAAUUCGUAGCACGACGUUCCAUGGAAAAUUCCCUUCUCUGCUCAGACUAAACGCAAGACAUACAGCAUUCACUUUUGAUUACCGAAGGCCGUAAACACACCCCAACAGGUAUAAUACGGUAGUUUACAGCCGUGGCCUAAAUUGGGAGAUAUGCUUUCUUCUUCAUAAAACGAGAAAAGUGGGAUAGGUUGGAAGUCUUCGUGACUCUCGGCAGGACGGCUAGCUGGCCGCGGCCACCGCAGGGACUGUCUCGUUACCCACUUACCAGGAUUUGGUCUCCUCCGGCAUCAUUUAUUCAUUACCUAUACUGCGGCUUUGUAGGCUAGUCUAUAAAUACCUUUCUAAUUUGAAUUAAGAUAAUGUGCUAUCUGUGCUUGUUAGAUGUGGCAAAACGCAGCUUGUACUCACUUUAAAUCUUACCAAGUCAGAGAGCAGUUUUGCAUUCCAGAUAGAGCUAAAAAUAUUCACCCAUUAAAAUAGUAAUCAUCAUUAAAAUUAGCUCACUGAUUUUGCUGAUUAAUUUCUCGGUGACAAGUACGCUUUCUAAAAAGUUUCAAUUAAACAUUUUUUUUUUUGAACAAAACUCGACUUUUAAAAUCUAAACUAUCUAGGAAGAAAGGGAUAAUUAAGGAAAUAAAAAUAGAAAAUUUAAAUCUACUGUAAUUUGCACAGACUUUGUGAAGAUUCGCUGUCAAAAACCAGAGGAAGGCAAAGCAUGGAAACAGUUGUGGUGACUGGAAUGUGGGACCGAGGCCCCCUUCUUCACUUUGGGGGUGACGCACAUGCCUGGGAAGGUGCUUUGUUUUUGUCUGCACAGGAGUGCACUAGCGGGCAUAGUAAGAGUGCAAGUGCUCAGAGCCACUCUCGUGACAUUAGAUGUUUACGUGCACGCGCUCGAUUUUCAUUUGCAACAGGCAUGCGUCCAGUCCAGCAGAAGGCUGUAAAUCCGUGACAGCAUAAAGGGGCACUUGAAAGGCAUGGAUGAAACAAAGGCUUGUUAUUGUUUGUUUUUUUUGUCUUUAUUAUCUUUAUUUUAGUCACUAUGUUUAGUUAAUAUUCCCAUAUUAUAUGGGGUUAAAGACAUAAACAGGCUAAAAUAUUAUUUUAAUCAACCCUACAGAAAAUGGUGUUUCCAUUCAAUCCUUUAGGCAAAUCAACCCCUUACUGUCAUCUUCAGAAAAUAGGCUAAUAUAGAUGCCUCUGGUUUUAAGUAUAUCAACUAUGUUGAAACUAAAAAAUGGGGCACGGGUGGUAAGACAGAAGGCUGCUGAGAAAGGUUUAGAAUACAGGGAUCAGGAGAAAGUUAUAACGUGCACUUGUGUUAAAAAUAACGUAUCAUUCGGUACUAAUUAAGGCGAUAAAGUAUUCCUUAGCUAUGAACGUUUAACGUUUCAUAUUAUUUAUAACAGACACACAUCACAAAAUAAUAGUGAAAUCCAGUACGUCACGGAUGACUAUUGUAUAGUAACGGCCACAGAAAUAUCUUCUGACACUUCUCAAAUAAUGCAUCCCAGCAGCUCCGGAGGAAGACAGAGAUUCACGCCAAAGCGAUCUGGUGUCCAGCGGUAUGUCUGAGGUGUUUGGGAUCUCAGAAAAAUAGACCAUCUUGCUUAUCUCCUGUAAUCUGAAUCGUAAAUCCGGUCUGGCAUCAGGUGGGAUUCCAACUGAGAAAGGGGAGCAGUGGUCCCGGCUCCUGCGAUCAGUGCACACUCGCCAGGGAAUGAACGAGUAGGCCAGGAAACAUGUCCUCCGGCCGUCGGUUAGACAUGCCCAACUGCCUUUCCAUGUGCCCAGAUAUGAGCCAUCGUGGAAGAAUCAGCAAGAAUUUGCUGCCAAACUCAGAGAUUUUCUCCCCAAGCAGAACUGGUGAGCUUGGGUAACUCCUAUCAUUGUAUAACAGGGAAACUCUACACACGCGUGUUGUGGACGGAUGCUGAUCACACGGCUUUAUAGUAAACUUUCUCCCAGGGGCAGGAAGCGAGGAGGAAAACCACUCAGAGAUCAGGGCUAAGGCUGGCCCAAGAUUUAGACCUGAGAUGAUCAGACUUCUGAGUGCACCUGCGACCGACCAUGUCAGAACUAUCACAUCUUCCUCAACCCAUGUGUGCACCGCCCUCUCGGAGUCGCCUGCAGCAAGCUGGGACUGCCACGGGACCGAGGGCUCACGGACGUUGGGUGAACACAUAGAAAGUUUUAGAAAAUUCAGUUCUUUUAAUGCUUCUUUUUCAGGUGAUAAAAUAUCUAAAAAUCGCAACCACACAUUUGACUCUCUGUUAGUGAUUACUAACGAUCCCUGGUUAUAAUGAGCGUGUGAAUUUCUUUGAAAUGAAAUUCUCUGUUGCUUUUCUUUUUAACGAAUCAAUUUGUGAUGGUUCUGGGAUUAUUUCAGACACGGAGGUAUGAUGUAUUUCUUCUCCCAUGGGCGUCAGAGAAUUUUAUGGUGCCCCCCCCCCAGCCCCAGCUCUGGAAAAGGCACCUAAUGUUUCCCUGUUUCAGCUAUAUUUUGUAAAACUGUUAGCAAUGUCUAAGAUACGAGUGGGUGGAAAGGGGUGAGGAUUAUAUAAUGCUGCUAUUUUCUUUAACUUUCUUUCAUUGUAUGUUUGCUGAAUGAGUGUGAGUUUAGCACCAAUAAUUUGCACCCAGGACUGCAGAUUGGGACCUGCUUGGCCCCAGUGACCGUCACAGCGAGAGGACUCCAACAUUUGGGAAACGACAAAUGUCUCACGUGCUUGGCUGCCCUAACAGAAUACCAUAGUCUGCGACUUAAACAACACAUAUUUAUUUCUCACGGCUCUGGAGGCUGGAAGUCUAAGAUCAGAGAACUGGCGGGUUUGGCUUCUUCUGAAGCGUAUUUGGCUUGCCAAUGACCACCUUCUCCUCAAGUGGGUCCUCAAGUGGUGGGAUGGGCAAGGGGGCUCUCUGGGUCUCUGUCACAAGAGCACUGCUCCCAUCACAGGGGCUCCAUCCUCAUGACAUAAUCACAUCCCAAAGGACCCAUCUCCUAACUUCACACUGGGGGCAGGUAGAUCUCCAUGGAGGAAUUUGGGUGGAGGGGAGACACAAACAUUCAGUCCACAGCCAUGAGAAUUAGAGAGGCCAAGAACACGCAAAAGACAGAAAGUUCUGUGUGGGAAACUAUCACUCAGCAAGAACUCAUAUAAAUCCCGGGAACAAUGACCUGUCAAUGUGGAUGGCAAUGAUAAUUCUAGGUGGCAAUGAUAAUUCUAAGAAGCAAUGUGAACUUUAGUUUCCAGUUUUGCUGAAGUCAAGGGUUUUAUUCAAUUAAAAAAAAAAAAAAAAGUUCAUCUAUUGCAUUUUGUGCCCACAGAUGAAAGAGGAAAUCGGCCUUUCUUUCAGACGCUCAGAGGGCACACAUGCCCAGAACUGCACAAACUUCACCGGUGGUGACAAUAAUGGGGCCACUUUACAUUUUACACAGGGUUGGGGUUUUCAGUAUUCAUGAUAAAGUAUGAGAAAGAUAUAGGAAAUAAUAUAACAAAGUCCCAGAUUUCUCAAGUCUUUACAGUUUGAUAUGCAUGUUUCAGACGUUUUUAAGAAAUUAUAAUUUACUGGUGAGUUUGAAGUCCCUUGUCAAGCCUUUUUCCUCCCCCUUAGAGAUAACCAGCAUCCUGAAUUUGUCAUCCCCUUCCUAUUUUAUGCUCUGGUUAUGCACUGUUCUCAUAAAUACUAUAUUGAGUUGU